GAGUUUGAUCUUGGCUCAGAUUGAACGCUGGCGGCAUGCCUUACACAUGCAAGUCGAACGGCAGCAUGAUCUAGCUUGCUAGAUUGAUGGCGAGUGGCGAACGGGUGAGUAAUACAUCGGAACGUGCCCUGUAGUGGGGAUAACUAGUCGAAAGAUUAGCUAAUACCGCAUACGACCUGAGGGUGAAAGUGGGGGACCGCAAGGCCUCAUGCUAUAGGAGCGGCCGAUGUCUGAUUAGCUAGUUGGUGGGUAAAGGCCCACCAAGGCGACGAUCAGUAGCUGGUCUGAGAGGACGAUCAGCCACACUGGGACUGAGACACGGCCCAGACUCCUACGGGAGGCAGCAGUGGGGAAUUUUGGACAAUGGGCGAAAGCCUGAUCCAGCAAUGCCGCGUGUGUGAAGAAGGCCUCGGUU
Molecule: ribosomal RNA, 415 nt
Filed under: uncultured microorganism
Description: bacterial SSU rRNA
Rfam family: Bacterial small subunit ribosomal RNA
Source: RNAcentral